AUUGAACGCUGGCGGCAGGCUUAACACAUGCAAGUCGAGCGGUAGCACAGGGGAGCUUGCUCCCUGGGUGACGAGCGGCGGACGGGUGAGUAAUGUCUGGGAAACUGCCUGAUGGAGGGGGAUAACUACUGGAAACGGUAGCUAAUACCGCAUAACGUCGCAAGACCAAAGAGGGGGACCUUCGGGCCUCUUGCCAUCAGAUGUGCCCAGAUGGGAUUAGCUAGUAGGUGGGGUAAUGGCUCACCUAGGCGACGAUCCCUAGCUGGUCUGAGAGGAUGACCAGCCACACUGGAACUGAGACACGGUCCAGACUCCUACGGGAGGCAGCAGUGGGGAAUAUUGCACAAAGGGCGCAAGCCUGAUGCAGCCAUGCCGCGUGUGUGAAGAAGGCCUCCGGGUUGUAAAGCACUUUCAGCGAGGAGGAAGGUGGUGAACUUAAUACGUUCAUCAAUUGACGUUACUCGCAGAAGAAGCACCGGCUAACUCCGUG
Molecule: ribosomal RNA, 490 nt
Filed under: uncultured bacterium
Lineage: Bacteria
Description: partial 16S ribosomal RNA
Rfam family: Bacterial small subunit ribosomal RNA
Source: RNAcentral